RNAcentral lists this ribosomal RNA (511 nucleotides) under uncultured bacterium. Its description in RNAcentral is "partial 16S ribosomal RNA". It matches the Rfam family "Bacterial small subunit ribosomal RNA", at positions 899 to 1397 of the family's 1533-position model. The record is from RNAcentral.
ACUCAAAUGAAUUGACGGGGGCCCGCACAAGCGGUGGAGCAUGUGGUUUAAUUCGACGCAACGCGAAGAACCUUACCUGGGCUUGAACUACCGGAAGUAAGAUCUUGGAAACAGGAGAUGACUCGUAAAAUCGAGAUCCGGCAGAGGUGCUGCAUGGUUGUCGUCAGCUCGUGUCGUGAGAUGUUGGGUUAAGUCCCGCAACGAGCGCAACCCCUAUCCCAUGUUGCCUAGUACCCGCAAGGGUACCGCACUCUUGGGAAACUGCCUCGGAUAACGGGGAGGAAGGUGGGGAUGACGUCAAAUCCUCAUGGCCUUUAUGUCCAGGGCUACACACGUGCUACAAUGGUCGGGUACAGCGGGAUGCAAAUCCGCAAGGAGGAGCCAAUCCCUGAAAACCGGCCUCAGUUCAGAUUGUGGGCUGCAAUUCGCCCACAUGAAGGCGGAAUCGCUAGUAAUCGCAGAUCAGCAGGCUGCGGUGAAUACGUUCCCGGGCCUUGUACACACCGCCCGU